RNAcentral lists this ribosomal RNA (1346 nucleotides) under uncultured bacterium. Its description in RNAcentral is "bacterial SSU rRNA". It matches the Rfam family "Bacterial small subunit ribosomal RNA", at positions 28 to 1381 of the family's 1533-position model. The record is from RNAcentral.
GACGAACGCUGGCGGCGUGCUUAACACAUGCAAGUCGAACGGAAAGGCCCUGCUUUUGUGGGGUGCUCGAGUGGCGAACGGGUGAGUAACACGUGAGUAACCUGCCCUUGACUUUGGGAUAACUUCAGGAAACUGGGGCUAAUACCGGAUAGGAGCUCCUGCUGCAUGGUGGGGGUUGGAAAGUUUCGGCGGUUGGGGAUGGACUCGCGGCUUAUCAGCUUGUUGGUGGGGUAGUGGCUUACCAAGGCUUUGACGGGUAGCCGGCCUGAGAGGGUGACCGGCCACAUUGGGACUGAGAUACGGCCCAGACUCCUACGGGAGGCAGCAGCGGGGAAUAUUGCACAAUGGGCGGAAGCCUGAUGCAGCAACGCCGCGUGCGGGAUGACGGCCUUCGGGUUGUAAACCGCUUUCGCCUGUGACGAAGCGUGAGUGACGGUAAUGGGUAAAGAAGCACCGGCUAACUACGUGCCAGCAGCCGCGGUGAUACGUAGGGUGCGAGCGUUGUCCGGAUUUAUUGGGCGUAAAGGGCUCGUAGGUGGUUGAUCGCGUCGGAAGUGUAAUCUUGGGGCUUAACCCUGAGCGUGCUUUCGAUACGGGUUGACUUGAGGAAGGUAGGGGAGAAUGGAAUUCCUGGUGGAGCGGUGGAAUGCGCAGAUAUCAGGAGGAACACCAGUGGCGAAGGCGGUUCUCUGGGCCUUUCCUGACGCUGAGGAGCGAAAGCGUGGGGAGCGAACAGGCUUAGAUACCCUGGUAGUCCACGCUGUAAACGGUGGGUACUAGGUGUGGGGUCCAUUCCACGGGUUCCGUGCCGUAGCUAACGCUUUAAGUACCCCGCCUGGGGAGUACGGCCGCAAGGCUAAAACUCAAAGGAAUUGACGGGGCCCCGCACAAGCGGCGGAGCAUGCGGAUUAAUUCGAUGCAACGCGUAGAACCUUACCUGGGUUUGACAUGGAUCGGGAGCGCUCAGAGAUGGGUGUGCCUCUUUUGGGGUCGGUUCACAGGUGGUGCAUGGCUGUCGUCAGCUCGUGUCGUGAGAUGUUGGGUUAAGUCCCGCAACGAGCGCAACCCUUGUUCACUGUUGCCAGCACGUUAUGGUGGGGACUCAGUGGAGACCGCCGGGGUCAACUCGGAGGAAGGUGGGGAUGACGUCAAGUCAUCAUGCCCCUUAUGUCCAGGGCUUCACGCAUGCUACAAUGGCUGGUACAGAGAGUGGCGAGCCUGUGAGGGUGAGCGAAUCUCGGAAAGCCGGUCUCAGUUCGGAUUGGGGUCUGCAACUCGACCUCAUGAAGUCGGAGUCGCUAGUAAUCGCAGAUCAGCAACGCUGCGGUGAAUACGUUCCCGGGGCU